UACAGAGGGGGCGAGCGUUGUUCGGAAUUACUGGGCGUAAAGGGCGCGUAGGCGGCACGGCAAGUCGGGAGUGAAAGGCCUGGGCUCAACCGAGGAACUGCUUUCGAGACUGCCGAGCUAGAGUGCGGAAGGGGCAACUGGAAUUCCCAGUGUAGCGGUGAAAUGCGUAGAUAUUGGGAAGAACACCUGAGGCGAAGGCGGGUUGCUGGGCCGACACUGACGCUGAGGCGCGAAAGCCAGGGGAGCAAACGGG
This 253-nucleotide ribosomal RNA is filed under the name uncultured bacterium. Its description in RNAcentral is "partial 16S ribosomal RNA". It matches the Rfam family "Bacterial small subunit ribosomal RNA", at positions 524 to 776 of the family's 1533-position model. The record is from RNAcentral.